UAGCUGGAACUUGAAGAAAUAGUUUUAUCAGGUAAAGCGAAUGAUUAGAAGCUCUGGGGAUGAAACAUCCUCGACUUAUUCUCAAACUUUAAAUAGGUAAGAUGAUUGCAGUACUUAAUUGACUGUCAGUCUCUUGAAUAGAAAGUUCUUAGUGGGCCAUUUUUGGUAAGCAGAACUGGCGAUGUGGGAUGAACCAAACGUAAAGUUAAAAGUGCCUAAAAGUACGUUCAUCAGACACCACAAAAGGUGUUGAUUCAUCUUGACAGUUGGACAGUGGCCAUGGAAGUCGGAAUCUGCUAAGGAGUGUGUAACAACUCACCAACCGAAUGAAUUAGCCCUGAAAAUGGAUGGCGCUUAAACGUAUUACUUAUACUUUACCAUUAAAGUAAAUGCUAAACUUUAAUGAGUAGGAGGGCGUAUGGAUAAUUUAGAAGACUGAUAGUGAUAUUAGUUGGAAUUAUCUUUAGUGCAGAUCUUGGUGGUAGUAGCAAAUAUUCAAUAGAGAACAUUGAAGACUGAAGUGGAG
This 526-nucleotide ribosomal RNA is filed under the name uncultured eukaryote. RNAcentral's name for it is "eukaryotic LSU rRNA". It matches the Rfam family "Eukaryotic large subunit ribosomal RNA", at positions 979 to 1501 of the family's 3401-position model. The record is from RNAcentral.